GCUGUUUUGAGCAUGUGUCCCUGUCCUUGUAAAAUGCAGGACUAUUCUGACCAGUAUUACCUUGCUAGCUUGUUGUCUUCUUUUUAAAACCACUCUAGGGAAACUCAACUUUAUGGCCUGUGUAAAAUCUUAAUGAUACAGAGAAAACGUGUUCAAGUGAUAUGCCUAUAUAAUCUUCAUAUAAUCUAUGUUAUAAAUGUCAAGAAAUCAGGGUUAUCUCAAAUAAUUUAGACUAGGAUCUCUUUGAACUAUGUGGCUUGUUUCAGUGCCAAUAUCCUGCUUUUCCUACAAGCAAGGAAAUCCUGCUGAUGUCAGUACAAUUCCAAGCGCGUAUGCCAGGAUAUCGGAGCAAAGACUUGUCACGCUGACUUGAGCUGGGGAAUGCUACUUACCUUGCAUCUGCAAUUCCAGGACUCUGGAGCUUGCUCUGUUGGCGGCAAGUUAGCAGAAUUCUUUGCAGAGCCAUUAUUUUAGAUGUUGCUGGAAUUCUGUUCAAAUGUUCAAAAAGUAAAAAGACUGCCCUGAAGAUUUUGUUCUUAUUCUAAACUGGGGAAAACUCCCCACUUAGCUAAAGAACUGGACCUGUGGGAAAAAAAGGAGCUCAAUAGCUGAAGGGAUGAGGAAGAGACAGUCUGAUGUUUUUGUGGAAACAUGCCUUUUGGAGAAGCCUCCACAAGUGUUCUAGAGAUUCUUUUCCGAGACCAUUCCUUCAUUCUGGUUCCUGGAGGAGCGACCUGUGAAUUCCUGAUGACAGACAGUUCCCUUAAAAUUCUACAUGAAUUUUUUACAAGGUUUAAAGGAAUGUAGUGAGAGAUGGACAUAAGGAACAAAACAUUGUUUAGAACAGAGCUUUAUUGCCUGGUGAUCAGAAAAAUUACAAUAUUUCAUCAAAGAUUCCCAGCAUAUGGGAACCUACCAAGUUUCAUGCAUUUUUCAAAAAGUUUUGUGGAUGCCAAAAGAAAUGCCUGACUUCAUCCUCCUCGGGGAGGACAGCCCGCUGAGCCCUCGCGCAGGCGGAGGGAGGCUC
This 1027-nucleotide long non-coding RNA is filed under the name Struthio camelus australis. RNAcentral describes it as "lncRNA (ENSSCUG00000001050.1)". Lineage: Eukaryota; Metazoa; Chordata; Aves; Struthioniformes; Struthionidae. The record is from RNAcentral.